UACGUAGGGUGCAAACAUUAAUCGGAAUUAUUGGGCGUAAAGGGCGCGUAGGCGGCUUUCUAAGUCAAAGGUGAAAUCCCUCGGCUCAACUGAGGAACUGCCUUUGAAACUGGAAGGCUUGAGGCCGGGAGGGGGUAGCGGAAUUCCCAGUGUAGCGGUGAAAUGCGUAGAUAUUGGGAGGAACACCAGUGGCGAAGGCGGCUACCUGGACCGGUUCUGACGCUGAUGCGCGAAAGCGUGGGUAGCAAACAGG
RNAcentral lists this ribosomal RNA (253 nucleotides) under uncultured bacterium. Its description in RNAcentral is "partial 16S ribosomal RNA". It matches the Rfam family "Bacterial small subunit ribosomal RNA", at positions 524 to 776 of the family's 1533-position model. The record is from RNAcentral.